GUCCACUGUAGUGCACACAGUGACGUCAUAAACAUGAGCAUAUUAUUUAUUUUGUGUGCGGUGUGCAUGGUGGCGGCCGUACCUGAGCAUGGACAUAGAGAAAGGAGAGAGAUAGAACGUAGACAGUAUAAGUUUGGAGGACCCAUGGCUCCUCCGCCGCCUCCUCCUAUGAUUAAUUACAGGAGGCUGCAAACCUAUUACCGGGCUGGCGACACCCGGCGACCUCCGCGCCCAAAACGGCGACCAAAUCGGCGACCAAUGCGCCGGCGACCAACCGUGCCUGAACCGUUUAUGUUUUAUAUCCCUACGCGUUACUAAUUUAAGCUUAUAAUCUGGAGAUGUGCUAUUUUUAUUAAUAAAUCUAGAUACUCCAUGA
Molecule: long non-coding RNA, 376 nt
Organism: Helicoverpa zea (corn earworm)
Lineage: Eukaryota; Metazoa; Arthropoda; Insecta; Lepidoptera; Noctuidae
Exons: 2
Source: RefSeq, a predicted model, not a curated record